GCAUGAGAGGAGUGAUGGGCUCCCACCUCGGGUGUCCCUGGACCACCCUUCCUUCUACUAGAUUGAAGGAUGGUUUUAUGUUUUUUUCUCUAAUUAUGUGGAAUUCUCCUAGAGUUUAGUCCCUGUACCAGAGAUUUUUCCCAUAUGAGACUCUGAACUCUUGGAGAAAACACACCCUGCUUUCCAGUUCCAUUUGAAACUCUGCAGUGAUUCCCCAGGCUUGUCUGAAGCCCUCCUAAUAGCUGCAUCAUGAACUCAGCUCAUAAAAAUCAUCAAUGACUGGCUCCGACCCAGACUAGGACUUUGGAACAACAUUGGAACACAGGCCCAGCCACAUAAGGACCUGCAUGGAGGAACAGCAUGACCUGCCAAGUGUUCCCUGCUGACUGAUUAUGGGAUAAGACAUGCUGUGGUGGUUUAAAUAUGAUUAGCCCAUGAGAAGUGGCACUAUUAGGAGGUGUGACCUUGUUGGAAUAGGUGUGGUCUUCUUGGAGGAAAUGCGUCACAGUGUAGGCGGGCUUUGAGGGCUCCUAGUGCUCGUGCUCCACCCUGUGCGGAAGACAACCUCCUCCUCCCCACUGCCUGCUAAGGAGUCUCCUUCUGGCUGUCCUUAGAUUAAGACAUGGAACUCUCAAUUCCUUCUCCUGCAAUGUGUCUACCUGGAUGCCACCAUGCUUCCUACUAUGAUGAUAAUGGAUUGAACCUCUGAAACUGUAAGCCAGCCCCAGUGAAAUAUUUGCCUUUGGUAAGAGCUGCCUUGGUCAUGGUGUCUCUUCACAGCAAUGAAACCCUAACUAAGACAACAUGCUUACCAAGAAAAUGGACAAAAGGGAUUAGUUUGCAGCUGUGGCUGAGAAGGGGUCUAGAAGUGGACUGUUGCUUGCUUCUGUAAAGGACACUUUACAGAAUUAGCUGAUUUUUCCCCCUUGGCCUGAAUCUAUGGCUUUCAAACAGUUAGAGAUCUUGGCCUUAGAAAAGCAAUACAGAUAACAUCAGCUGGAGUGGAGUCAGU
Arvicanthis niloticus (Nile rat) is the source of this 1012-nucleotide non-coding RNA. NCBI's taxonomy places the organism in Eukaryota, Metazoa, Chordata, Mammalia, Rodentia, Muridae. The record is from RefSeq and is a predicted model, not a curated record.